Vicia faba (fava bean) is the source of this 300-nucleotide non-coding RNA. NCBI's taxonomy places the organism in Eukaryota, Viridiplantae, Streptophyta, Magnoliopsida, Fabales, Fabaceae. The record is from the annotation of a GenBank genome assembly.
AUGGACAUCUCCAAAAUAGUCUUCCAUUAUUUGACCCCUUCUUGCAUUGGUACGACACCAUUCGGUCCUAGCAACCACAUAAAUGGCCAGCUCGAGAUUUUACAGAAGAAGAUGAUAACGAUACGCCUUUCAAUGAGCUUGACUUCAAAUAAUCCAUUUGAAUAUAAAAGACGAGAUGAAACAAAUAAGGAGGAGUUAGUUGGUCUCUAUCUUGGUUUGAAUAUAUCUCUUCUUAUUCAAGGUGUAGCAGUGGGACUGCCAUUGUUCUUUUGCAAAAGAUCCUCUAUAAUUCCUCUGUAA